Long non-coding RNA from Siniperca chuatsi (mandarin fish), 3357 nucleotides. RefSeq lists it as uncharacterized. The record is from RefSeq and is a predicted model, not a curated record. NCBI's taxonomy places the organism in Eukaryota, Metazoa, Chordata, Actinopteri, Centrarchiformes, Sinipercidae. The transcript is spliced from 2 exons.
AUGAUUCUAAAGAAGAGAAAAUGUUGCAAAUAUGAGUGUUUCACUACUUAACUUCUUUGAACCUUAAAGUUUUACAGAAUCACUCCGAAACAAAAUGUUCACAUUUCAGUUUGGCUGCGGCUGCACGUCCGAGGCUGCGGGUUUUCUCCUUUCAGAUGAAUGAAUGAACAGUCAACAAUGACAAACUCGUUUCAGUAAACACCUGUAAGAGGUGAAAACAUCUUUAUCAGUUCCUGUAGUUCCCUGGAACCUCCGCCGACUCUGCACCAGCCUGUCGAGUUUCUCUUUAUCCACUGCCAGAUCGUGUUACGACAUUUCUUUCCAGCAGGAUUACAGCACCAGUUUUUAGGUCACCUUUUCUCAGAAUGCUUCGGUUACAGCAGAUAAUCCCAAAGAAACCCGAUCCAACGGCGCCGUCUUUGGCAUUAUGUUUGUGAACUUUAUAUAAUGCUCGGUUCUUGUUACUUUUCCUAUUCUAUUCUUGUCAUACAAGGUACAAGGCGGCAUUUAUUGUGAUUCUCUCCAUAUGCGAUAUUCAGUACACGGGGGAACGACCGAGUGCAACACCAUGAAUACCGCUCCGGACGGACUCGGGGAAAGCGUGCGACUGAUUGCGUCUCAAUGAGCAUGACUCCAGCUCAUCUCAGAGGCUUGUUCUUCCACACCGGACUGGGAAACCCAUUUCUUUAUGGAGCUGGCUUUGUGCACGGGACAUUGUCAUGCCAAAGGGCCACCAGUAAAAGUAUGCCGAUUUAGCCAUCAAAUCCUGUUUGCACUGUACCCACGGCUGUACAGACAACAUCACCGCAUUGCUUCCAUACUGGAUUCUAAUGAUCUGAUCUGAUUUCAUCAGACUGUAUCUGAUUUCUAAACAGAUCAUUUUAACGUAUUCACGAUGGGCAUCGAAGAUAAUGAUAUCAUCAGGAAGCAUAAGUCACACUGAAUCUAAACAUGUCACACAUCCCAUCUGCGUGUGCACAUUGGACUGAGUUGUGAGUGGUGUGUCAGCCACUGACUGCUGAGCGUGUUGGUGAACGGUCAAAUCAGCAGCCAGACUACAGUAACCAACUUCCUGCUGUGCUUAGAGCACCUGUAUGCACCUGUAUGCACCUGUCCCUUUCACCCCACACAGAAUCCCCCAGUCUGAAAACCUCUGCUCUAAAGUUUACUGACACCCUUUCCAUGCACUGCGAUGGGAAACAUCCGUGUGACUUGUGUCCGAGUGGCAGUUCUGGCCUGACGCUCGCGUUAUAGACGAGGGAAGGAGGUCACCAGAAUAAUCAGGACUCACCCCCCCGGGGUGCAUGAAUAUCCACAGAACGCCUCAUGAGGCUGGAAGGCCUGUUGGUGUUUUCCACAAAAUUGUCAGCUGGUUAGCUGAGAAGACUUUAGUGGGAAUCCCAUCGUCCACCCACUCACUGAGUACAGUCUGGCAGUUUCACUCAGGAUCACAGAGCUGCUACGUGACAGACGCAAUGCUUUUAUCUUACUGAAGAAAACAGCUGCUGAGUGGCUGAAUGGUGUUUUACAAGAACAGAGUGACAAAUGAGGAAGGAAAACAAAAAAUGGGGUGAUAAAAUGAAUCACAAGCUGGUUUUCUUUGCUGCCGGCAGCUUCUUAUUUACCUCUGAUGAACUCUUGCAUGGUUUGUAUUUCCUCAUUGAUAAAAUAUUUCAGCCUGCAGGGAUCGAGCAGCCCGCGCAGCGCGGAGAAAAGGCGUUGUUUCGCGUUACACCUGGGCAGGUUUGACCAAACUCUGGAUGUGUGUUAUCACUUUACUAAGGCAGGUUAUUGUAUUGUUUAAAGUUCACCACAAUAAAUAUAUUUAAAGCCACCGUGCACAUUUUUACAUGAUUAUUUUAUAUUUCAAAUUAUUCUGAAGCCACGAGUUUCUGUGUGAAGAAAAAUGAAAGAGGCUGUGCGUUGUUGACUGUCACAGUGGGGGUUUUUGUUCUACUACUGGUGGACAGAAGUUUUCAGAUUCCACACAUAGUGGCAGUUAGGGAAGAUGAAGCGGUUGAUCCAGGAAUUGGAUUGGUGGUGCUGAUCGGCCCUAUGAGGUGUCUGAAAUCAGGGCUAAAAUAGAAUUUCUUUUCUGUUCUUUAAGUUGCUAGUACUCUAAACCAGCAGCCUCCAUCGGAAGCUACUGUAAGUAUGUUGUUCUUCAACUGAGGUGCUGAGUGCAAAGUAGGCAUGUAAGCACAAUGGCCACAUUUAAGGGAAGUAACCAGAAUAUAUCAUAUAAUGUUAUCCGAACAACCCCACGGCAAACGGUAAAUGGACUGUACCAGUCUUUCCGACUACUCAAAGCGCUUCACACACUACAUAUCACACUCACACACUGACGGCAGGUACCAGCUGCUCAUCAGUACAAAGAAACUAAUCCGCCACACACUCACACACCGAAGGCCCGGCCCUCGGCAGCGAUUUGAGGUUCAGUGUCUUGCCAGAUAGAGUUUGAAGGCGUAGGCAGGAAUCUGAGCUCUCACCAGCUUUCUGUCUGAACUAAACCAUGACCUCUUCCUCACACAGGUGCAUAUUUCUGCCUCCUCUCACAACCUCUUUCAGCAGGAAACAGGCCUGUUUUGCCAUAACAUGUAUAAUAACCACAAGCAUGCGUACGUUAUUCAGAAAGUGGUCACGCUGAGUAAUAAGUAACGGUACUGCUGUUGGUUUGCCAUAAAUCUAAAUUGAUGUAACCAAACCCAGCAGUGUCUGCCAACCAAUCACAGCCCCCCGUGAAACAAAGCAGUGGGAUGCUUUUGAGAUUCAAGUGAAAUUAAAUGGAACUGAGGUGAAACUUGUGUUCGUGUUUAAAAUACCUGUAACAUAUUUCUGUUCCUUUUGUUUCACUGUGAGCUUCUGCAGAAAGAAUCAGAAGCAUCUGAACCUGCUGCGGGACGAGGACGCCAUCAGCAUGACAUCACACACACACACACACACACACACACACACACACACACACACACACACACACACACACACACACACACCCUGCAGCGGAUUGAUUGAGCGUCUGGGUGGCCGGAGGAGAACGUGGCUGGAAAAUGUGUCGCAAACACUCAUUGUUCUCUGAGCAGUGUGUGAGAUUCCUGACACUGUACAUUCAUCUAACACACACACACACACACACACACACACACACACACACACACACACACACACACACACACACACAGUCUAAUGUACCAGUGUUUCCAAAUAUGGCAGCCGAUGAGACAAGACAUCGUCACCGGCAAAACAGAAACCUCCGAUGAUGCUUGUGGAAAAGUGCCGGCCCACACUUCUUCGUGCCAUCGAGUGCCUGCCUUUGUGAACAUAUUCAGCAUAUUAAAUGCUCUCUUGUCUGCAUUCAAA